CCUACGGGCGGCAGCAGUGGGGAAUAUUGCACAAUGGAGGAAACCCUGAUGCAGCGACGCCGCGUGGGUGAGGAAGUAUUUCGGUAUGUUAAGCCCUAUCAGCAGGGAAGAAAAAUGACGGUACCUGACUCAGAAGUACCGGCCCAAUACGUGCCAGCAGCCGCGGUAAUACGUAGGGUGCAAGCGUUAUCCGGAUUUACAGGGUGUAAAGGGAGCGCAGGCGGCACGCUAAGCCUGAUGUGAAAACCCGCGGCCCAAACGCGGGAGUGCAUUUGGAACUGGCGAGCUGGAGUACCGGAGGGGUAGGCGGAAUUCGUGGUGUAGCGGUGAAAUGCGUAGAUAUUAGGAGGAACACCAGUGGCGAAGGCAGCCUGCUGGACGGAGACUGACGCUGAGGCUCGAAAGCGUGGGGAGCAAACAGGAUUAGAUACCCCAGUAGUC
Molecule: ribosomal RNA, 441 nt
Filed under: uncultured bacterium
Lineage: Bacteria
Description: partial 16S ribosomal RNA
Rfam family: Bacterial small subunit ribosomal RNA
Source: RNAcentral